Molecule: long non-coding RNA, 638 nt
Organism: Solanum dulcamara
Lineage: Eukaryota; Viridiplantae; Streptophyta; Magnoliopsida; Solanales; Solanaceae
Exons: 4
Source: RefSeq, a predicted model, not a curated record
UUCAUCGUCUUCUCCAAAACCCUAGCCGCAGUCACUUCCAUAGGUGCUUUGCAGCCAAUCCAUUUCCCAAGACAUGGCGGAAGUUGAAGCUGAUGUUGCCACCGGCCAGCCAAGGAAGAGAGCGUUUAAGAAGUUCAGCUACAGAGGAUGAGCUCGUUAAGCUUUUCCCUGCUCGUCCUCGCAAAAGGUUCUAGCGGGGUUUGAAGAGGAAGCCUAUAGCUUUGUGAUCAAGAAUAUCGCAAGCCAAAACGUGAGGCCCCACUAGGUGCGAAGUCAGAGGUUGUGAGAACACAUUUGAGGGACAUGAUCAUUGGACCUUAUGAGAUGAUUGGCAGCGUUAAUUGGAAUCUACAAUGGGAAAACAUUCAAUCAAUUUGAGGUCAAGCCUGAAAUGAUUAGUCACUACUUAGCUGAGUUCUCCAUCUCAUACAAGCCUGUCAAGCACGGUAGGCCUGGUAUUGGUGCUACUCACUCUUCAAGGUUCAUUCCAUUGAAGUGAUUGGGGCAGAGCUUGUCUUCAUGUUUUCUAGUAAUUCUAGUACAUUGUUUUACUGCAAUUUUUAUGAGAACAGUUUAUACUGAAUGGUGAUUGGUUUGAGAAUUGAGACUAGUAAUUUGCUGAUACAUUGCUAUAUUUC